GUGAAAUUGUUGAAAGGGAAACGAUUGAAGCCAGUCGUACCUUCGGGUAAUCAGCCUUUUGGGUGUGAUUUUGUGGAGUGUGAAGAGUUAAACGCCUUCAUGCCUGCAUAUUCGUGCACUUUGGGUGUACUUGCUCGUGUGGUAAGUUAACAUCAAUUUUGGUUAUCAUAAAAUGAUUGGAGGAAUGUAGCUUCGAUCUCGUAUUGAAGUGUUACAGCCUUCGGUAGAUGUGAUGAUCGGGAUUGAGGAUUGCAACGGAUACCCUUCGGGGCUACCUGUCUGGUCUCUGAUUGUUGCUCUGGUGCUGAAAGCUUGCUUAUAGCUAUCAAAGUCGACGGUCAAUAGGUUAGAAUGGGUUAAAUUCGUUAAGGAUGUUGACGUAAUGGCUUUAAACGAC
RNAcentral lists this ribosomal RNA (397 nucleotides) under uncultured Rhizophagus. RNAcentral describes it as "partial 28S ribosomal RNA". The record is from RNAcentral. Lineage: Eukaryota; Fungi; Glomeromycota; Glomeromycetes; Glomerales; Glomeraceae.